Molecule: ribosomal RNA, 394 nt
Filed under: uncultured bacterium
Lineage: Bacteria
Description: partial 16S ribosomal RNA
Rfam family: Bacterial small subunit ribosomal RNA
Source: RNAcentral
AUACGUAGGGGACGAGCGUUGUUCGGAAUUACUGGGCGUAAAGGGCGCGCAGGCGGAUAUUUAAGUCAGCUGUAAAAGGCAUGAGCUCAACUCAUGUAUGCGGUUGAAACUGGGUAUCUAGAGUGCUGGAGAGGUAGGCGGAAUUCCCGGUGUAGCGGGGCAAUGCGUAGAUAUCGGGAAGAACACCAGUGGCGAAGGCGGCUUACUGGCCAGCAACUGACGCUGAGGCGCGAAAGCCAGGGGAGCGAACGGGAUUAGAUACCCCGGUAGUCCUGGCCGUAAACGAUGAAUGCUAGGUGUGGGUGUCGAGAGGCAUCCGUGCCGGAGUUAACGCGAUAAGCAUUCCGCCUGGGGAGUACGAUCGCAAGAUUGAAACUCAAAUGAAUUGGCGGGG